Molecule: ribosomal RNA, 468 nt
Filed under: uncultured bacterium
Lineage: Bacteria
Description: partial 16S ribosomal RNA
Rfam family: Bacterial small subunit ribosomal RNA
Source: RNAcentral
GACGAACGCUGGCGGCGUGCUUAACACAUGCCAGUCGAACGGAAAGGCCCUGCUCUUGUGGGGCGCUCGAGUGCCGAACGGGUGAGUAACACGCGUGUAACCUGCCCUUGUCUUAGGGAUAACUCUUGGAAACUGGGGCUAUAAUCGGAUAGGAGCUCCUGCUGCACGGUGGGGGAUGGAAAGAUUCGGCGUUUGGGGAUCGACUCGCGGGUUAUCCGCUUGUUGGUGUGGUAGUGGCUUACCAAGGCUAUGACGGGUAGCCGGCCUGGGAGGGUGACCGGCCACAUUAGGACUGAGAUACGGACCAGACGGCUACGGGAGGCAGCGGUGGGGAAUAUUGCGCAAUGGGCGGAAGCCUGAUGCAGCAACGCCGCGUGCGGGAUGACGGCCUACGGGUUGUAAACCGCUUUCGACUGUGACGAAGCGUGAGUGACGGUAAUGGGUAAGGAAGCACCGGCUAACUACGUG